UAGCCAGUCAUCGUGAAUGUGACAAUUACAACCUGACCAGUCAGGCAGAGGACGACGACGAUGAUGAGGUGCCAUUUAAAUUGACGAGGAACCGCACUAAAAAAGGAACUCCAGAGGGCUUUGUAAGAAAUGAAUUGACAGAUUCAGAUGAAGAGAACAUCAGGGGUGUCAAGCUGCCCAAAUACCCCACUGCACCAAAAAAGCUGUGGUCCAUUCAAGCCUCUGAAGAU
Polypterus senegalus (gray bichir) is the source of this 230-nucleotide long non-coding RNA. RefSeq lists it as uncharacterized. The transcript is spliced from 4 exons. The record is from RefSeq and is a predicted model, not a curated record. Lineage: Eukaryota; Metazoa; Chordata; Cladistia; Polypteriformes; Polypteridae.